Molecule: ribosomal RNA, 1505 nt
Filed under: metagenome
Description: bacterial LSU rRNA
Rfam family: Bacterial large subunit ribosomal RNA
Source: RNAcentral
UUAGAUCAGAAGCGAGAAUGUUGACAUGAGUAGCGACCAACAGGGUGAGAGACCCUGUCGCCGAAAGUCCAAGGGUUCCUGCUUAAAGCUAAUCUGAGCAGGGUAAGCCGGCCCCUAAGGCGAGGCCGAAAGGCGUAGUCGAUGGGAACCAGGUUAAUAUUCCUGGGCCAGGAGGAUGUGACGGAUCAGAGAGGUUGUCUGCCCUUAUCGGAUUGGGUGGGCAGCUGACUGGUCCCUGGAAAUAGCCCUCCAUCAGACCGUACCCUAAACCGACACAGGUGGACUGGUAGAGUAUACCAAGGCGCUUGAGAGAACCACAUCAAAGGAACUCGGCAAAAUGCCUCCGUAAGUUCGCGAGAAGGAGGCCCCACUCUUGGGCAACCAGGGGUGGGGGGCACAAACUAGGGGGUGGCGACUGUUUACUUAAAACACAGGGCUCUGCGAAGCCGUAAGGCGACGUAUAGGGUCUGACGCCUGCCCGGUGCUGGAAGGUUAAAAGGAGGGGUGCAAGCUCCGAAUUGAAGCCCCAGUAAACGGCGGCCGUAACAAUAACGGUCCUAAGGUAGCGAAAUUCCUUGUCGGGUAAGUUCCGACCUGCACGAAUGGCGUAACGAUCUCCCCGCUGUCUCUGAUGUGGACUCAGCGAAAUUGAACUGUGUGUCAAGAUGCACACUACCCGCGGUUAGACGGAAAGACCCCAUGCACCUUUACUAUAGCUUCGCACUGGCAUCAGGAUUGUGAUGUGCAGGAUAGGUGGUAGGCUUCGAAGCGGGGACGCCAGCCUCCGUGGAGCCUCCCUUGAGAUACCACCCUUCGCACUCUUGAUGUCUAACCGCGGCCCGUUAUCCGGGUCCGGGACCCUGCGUGGUGGGUAGUUUGACUGGGGCGGUCGCCUCCCAAACAGUAACGGAGGCGCGCGAAGGUUGGCUCAGAGCGGUCGGAAAUCGCUCGUUGAGUGCAAUGGCAGAAGCCAGCCUGACUGCAAGACUGACAAGUCGAGCAGAGACGAAAGUCGGCCAUAGUGAUCCGGUGGUCCCAAGUGGGAGGGCCAUCGCUCAACGGGUAAAAGGUACGCUGGGGAUAACAGGCUGAUGAUGCCCAAGAGUCCAUAUCGACGGCAUCGUUUGGCACCUCGAUGUCGGCUCAUCUCAUCCUGGGGCUGGAGCAGGUCCCAAGGGUAUGGCUGUUCGCCAUUUAAAGAGGUACGUGAGCUGGGUUUAGAACGUCGUGAGACAGUUCGGUCCCUAUCUGCCGUGGGUGUAGGAGACUUGCGAAGAGUUGCCCCUAGUACGAGAGGACCGGGGUGAACGAUCCACUGGUGGACCAGUUGUCGUGCCAACGGCAGUGCUGGGUAGCUAUGAUCGGACAGGAUAACCGCUGAAGGCAUCUAAGCGGGAAGCCCCCUUCAAAACUAGGUCUCCCUUGAGGGCCGUGGAAGACCACCACGUCGAUAGGCCGGAGGUGUAAGUGCGGCAACGCAUUCAGCUGACCGGUACUAAUUGCCC